Molecule: ribosomal RNA, 908 nt
Filed under: Malassezia sympodialis
Lineage: Eukaryota; Fungi; Basidiomycota; Malasseziomycetes; Malasseziales; Malasseziaceae
Description: eukaryotic LSU rRNA
Rfam family: Eukaryotic large subunit ribosomal RNA (bases 234-908)
Source: RNAcentral
CUCCCUCCCCUUACGGUGGCCGAAAGGCCGAAGUAGGGCGGACGGGGUAGGAUGGGUGUUUGCUGCCUGGGGAUUGUACCAGGCUCGCCCGAAAUGCAUAAGCGCCAGGACCCUCGCUACCGCUCUCUAGGGAAGAGUGGCUAAGCGACCGCUGAGCAUGGCAUGAUACGUCAUUUGCUGUGUGUGGGCGGCCGGUUGGAGAGGUGUCUGCUUUACCAGCCCUAUUUUAAUUCUGGUCUCAAAUCAGGUAGGAUCACCCGCUGAACUUAAGCAUAUCAAUAAGCGGAGGAAAAGAAACUAACAAGGAUUCCCCUAGUAACGGCGAGCGAAGCGGGAAGAGCUCAAAUUUGAAAGCUGGCACCUCCGGUGUCCGCGUUGUAAUCUCGAGACGUGUUUUCCGUGCGGCUCUAUGGACAAGUCCCUUGGAACAGGGCAUCGUAGAGGGUGAAAAUCCCGUACUUGCCAUGGAUGUACCGUGCUUUGUGAUACACGCUCUAAGAGUCGAGUUGUUUGGGAUUGCAGCUCAAAAUGGGUGGUAGACUCCAUCUAAAGCUAAAUAUCGGGGAGAGACCGAUAGCGAACAAGUACCGUGAGGGAAAGAUGAAAAGCACUUUGGAAAGAGAGUUAAAAGUACGUGAAAUUGUCGAAAGGGAAGCGCUUGAAGUCAGCCAUGCUGCGCGGACUCAGCCCGGCUGAUGCCUGGUGUAUUUCCCAGCAGCAAGUCAGCAUGGAUUUGGAUCGCCGGAGAAGGGUGGGAGGAAUGUGGCACCCUCGGGUGUGUUAAGCCUCCUACUGGAUACGGCGAUUUGGAUCCAGGAACGCAGUGUGCCUCUGGCGGGUCUUCGGACACCUUCACACUUAGGAUGCUGGCGUAAUGGCUUUAAGCGGCCCGUCUUGAAACACGGACC